This 593-nucleotide ribosomal RNA is filed under the name uncultured beta proteobacterium. RNAcentral's name for it is "bacterial SSU rRNA". It matches the Rfam family "Bacterial small subunit ribosomal RNA", at positions 79 to 669 of the family's 1533-position model. Lineage: Bacteria; Pseudomonadati; Pseudomonadota; Betaproteobacteria. The record is from RNAcentral.
CUUGCUCCGCUGACGAGUGGCGAACGGGUGAGUAAUAUAUCGGAACGUGCCCUAGGUGGGGGAUAACGUAGCGAAAGUUACGCUAAUACCGCAUACGAUCUACGGAUGAAAGUGGGGGAUCGCAAGGCCUCAUGCUCAUGGAGCGGCCGAUAUCUGAUUAGCUAGUUGGUAGGGUAAAAGCCUACCAAGGCUUCGAUCAGUAGCUGGUCUGAGAGGACGACCAGCCACACUGGGACUGAGACACGGCCCAGACUCCUACGGGAGGCAGCAGUGGGGAAUUUUGGACAAUGGGGGCAACCCUGAUCCAGCAAUGCCGCGUGAGUGAAGAAGGCCUUCGGGUUGUAAAGCUCUUUUGUCAGGGAAGAAACGGUGGGGGCUAAUAUCCUCUGCUAAUGACGGUACCUGAAGAAUAAGCACCGGCUAACUACGUGCCAGCAGCCGCGGUAAUACGUAGGGUGCAAGCGUUAAUCGGAAUUACUGGGCGUAAAGCGUGCGCAGGCGGUUGUGCAAGACAGAUGUGAAAUCCCCGGGCUCAACCUGGGAAUUGCAUUUGUGACUGCACGGCUAGAGUGUGUCAGAGGGGGGUAGAAUUC